RNAcentral lists this ribosomal RNA (705 nucleotides) under uncultured Acetothermia bacterium. RNAcentral's name for it is "bacterial SSU rRNA". It matches the Rfam family "Bacterial small subunit ribosomal RNA", at positions 735 to 1429 of the family's 1533-position model. The record is from RNAcentral. Lineage: Bacteria; Candidatus Bipolaricaulota.
UGUUACUGACGCUGAAGCGCGAAAGCGUGGGGAGCGAAGGGGAUUAGAUACCCCCGUAGUCCACGCCGCAAACGAUGUUCACUGGGUGUCGGUCAUUAAUUAGAUCGGUGCCGGAGCUAACGCAUUAAGUGAACCGCCUGGGGACUACGGCCGCAAGGCUAAAACUCAAGAGAAUUGACGGGGCCCUGCACAAGCGGUGGAGCACGUGGUUUAAUUCGAUGAUAAGCGAAGAACCUUACCUGGGCUUGACAUACUAGCAGUAGAAGCCAGAGAUGGUAACGACCCCUACUUUUGGUAGGGGAACUAGUACAGGUGAUGCAUGGCUGUCGUCAGCUCGUGUCGUGGGACGUUGGGUUAAGUCCCGAAACGAGCGCAACCCCUGUUGUUAGUUGCCAGCGGGUAAUGCCGGGGACUCUAACAAGACUGCUGGUGAAUAGCCGGAGGAAGGAGGGGAUGACGUCAAGUCAUCAUGUCCCUUAUGUCCAGGGCGACACACAUGCUACAAUGGGAGGUACAAAGGGCUGCUAAACCGUAAGGUCAUGCGAAUCCCAAAAAGCCUUCCUCAGUUCGGAUUGAGGUCUGCAACCCGACCUCAUGAAGCCGGAAUCGCUAGUAAUCGCAGGUCAGCCACACUGCGGUGAAUAUGUACUCAGGGCUUGUACACACCGCCCGUCACACCAAUCGAGUAGAGGGGACCUGAAGUCG